UACGUAGGGUGCAAGCGUUAAUCGGAAUUACUGGGCGUAAAGCGUGCGCAGGCGGUUUUGUAAGACAGGCGUGAAAUCCCCGGGCUCAACCUGGGAAUUGCGCUUGUGACUGCAAAGCUGGAGUGCGGCAGAGGGGGAUGGAAUUCCGCGUGUAGCAGUGAAAUGCGUAGAUAUCGUGAGGAACACCAAUGGCGAAGGCAGCCUCCUGGACAGUUACUGACGCUCAGGCACGAAAGCGUGGGGAGCAAAAGGGAUUAGAUACCCCAGUAGU
RNAcentral lists this ribosomal RNA (271 nucleotides) under uncultured bacterium. Its description in RNAcentral is "partial 16S ribosomal RNA". It matches the Rfam family "Bacterial small subunit ribosomal RNA", at positions 524 to 794 of the family's 1533-position model. The record is from RNAcentral.